Molecule: long non-coding RNA, 1891 nt
Filed under: Piliocolobus tephrosceles (Ugandan red Colobus)
Lineage: Eukaryota; Metazoa; Chordata; Mammalia; Primates; Cercopithecidae
Description: lncRNA (ENSPTEG00000001689.1)
Source: RNAcentral
AUGCAGGCAGGCGCCCCCCAGCCUACGAGGCUUUACCAAGGACCCUUCCAGGAGGAAGACGGGCGCGACCCCCUUGUCCUUGUUGGGCGCCAGCCUGCGGCGCCAGCAGCGGCGGCGGAAGCGGCUCCGGGGCUGAGGGUGGAGGUGGAACUUGGAGCCGAAGGCGUCGUACUCCCAGCCCUCCUCCUCGCCCUCGGCCGGGCCCUGCGGUGGGGAAGAGGGCAGGGCUGUGUUCCCGCAGCCGCGAAGGCGGCUGUGCCCGCAGCCCCCGCCAGGGCCCCCGCGGACGCCUCACCAGCUGCAGGAAGGAGACCGUCUCCUGCUCGUGGCUCAGCGCCCCGCGGUUCCGGAAGCGCACGCGCGCCCAGCGCCGCCGGCGGCACGAGUGUGCAGGGCUACUGCAGCUUCACCCUCUCUCAUCACGCCAAAUGCCCUGCAGGGAGGCCAUCUCUUCCCUGCCAGGCCACCUCACCCCCACCCCUGCAUGCCUGCCCUGGCCCUGGGCUGCCGCUCACCACUCACCGUCUCGGCGUACACCGCCGUGUCACCCUGGCGGAGAAGCUGCAGGUCCUUGCUGUCUGUGACGUUGCCAAGCCACAUGCAGACCCGGAGGUGAGCUGGGAGCACAUCCUUCUGUCCUUCACCCUCUGGGUACUGAGUCAGAGGCCGAUCGGUCCCAUAGGGGCACUAAACACCCUGAACGCCACCCCAGCCACCCCCCAAGUGGGCUGUACCUGCCCCUUUCCCCCGAGCCCUGGGAGCGGGGCCCUCACUGAGCUGAGUGCUGGAGCCCUAACUGAAUGGCAUGGAGUUCUGUUCUGGGAGUGCCUCGCACAGGGAGUAGCAGGGACGUUGAUAAUGGGGGGACGGACUGACGGACAUUCCUUGUGAGUUGGUUAUGGGCCGGCACUGUGCCAGUUGCCCGGUGUGCAUCGUAGGCCUGGAUCCUCGCAGCCCACCACGAGGAGGGCGUAGUGAUCGCCAGGCCCAUUCUACAGAGCAGCACACUGAGGGCUGGGCAUGGUCAGGAGUUGGCCUAGGGCCACACAGAGCCAGGAUUCGUGUCUCAGGGGCUCUUGCAGGAUGCAAAGGACUCUGGUGGGUAUGGAAGGAGCUUUGCACAUUGGUGGAGACGGCAAAGGGCAGGUACAGUUGGGGCCAGGGAAAGCCCAGUGUCCUUACUGUUGAGAGUAUGGGCUAGAGAGAAUGGAUGCAGGGCCAGGGGCCAGGGGCCAGGCCACAAGGCGGCACCUUCUCCAGGAGGCAGUGGGGAGCCAGGAAGUCUCUGAUGGGGGAAGGGAGUGGCCCCCACGUCCCCCCGGGAGGAUCAGAAGCAGGGAGGCCACUGUCACAGCCAGGAGUGAGGGUCGUGGUCAGGGUGUUUAGUCUUAUUUAUAGCUUGCAUCUGAUAUGAUGGGCUGGUGCCAAAUCUUAUUAAAUUAAAUAUUUUGGAGAUCACCCUGUCAUGGUCCAGGGAAGAGAUGACAAGGGGCUGGACCAAGCGGCGGCCAUGAGGAUGAUGGAGGAGGUAGAUUUGUUUUCUGGUUUUGUUUCUUUUUUUUUUUUUUUUUGAGAUGGAGUCUCGCUCUGUCACCCAGGCUGGAGCAGCGUCAUGAUCUCGGCUCACUGCAACCUCCGUCUCCCAGGUUCAAGCGAUUCUCCUGCCUCAGCCUUCCGUGUAACUGGGAUUACAGGCAUUCGCCACCAUGCCCGGCUAAUUUUUUGUAUUUUUAGUGGAGACGGGGUUUCACCAUGUUGGUCAGGCUGGGUCUUGAACUCCUGACCUCAGAUGAUCCACCCGCCUCGGCCUCCCAAAGUGCUGGGAUUACCUGUGAGCCACCGUGCCCACGAGGAGGUGGAUUUGGGGAACAUUUAUGAGGUACAUGGACUU